CAGCCUGCACGCGAUGCUGCUCGCUCCAGAGGAGAGAACCUGGGUGCUGAUGACAAGGACGUGGUCCAAGUGCCACCCCUGGGCAGUGCCGGCCACAGAGGGGAUGUGUUUGCCUGGCACAGGUGCAUUCCCAGUCUCAUAGAGCUGUGAAGGUGCCACACCAACACCUAAAAUGUGAAACCUGUGGAGAAUUCCUAUUGCUGUGCAGAGGCAAACCAUGGACACCCAGUUGUUCUCCCCCUUCCUGGGAGCAGCCCCCAGUGCCCCC
Long non-coding RNA from Melozone crissalis (California towhee), 268 nucleotides. RefSeq lists it as uncharacterized. The record is from RefSeq and is a predicted model, not a curated record. The transcript has 3 exons. Lineage: Eukaryota; Metazoa; Chordata; Aves; Passeriformes; Passerellidae.